GGCCUUCCCAUGUAUAUCCACAGGAAUCUACGGUUUCCCCAAUGAGCCUGCGGCUAAGAUCGCCUUGGAGACAGUAAAAAGCUGGGUCAAGGAGAACCAUGACAAGAUCGAACGUGUUAUCUUCUGUGUCUUCCUGGACACGGACUACAGGAUCUACAAGGACAAAAUCCCUCAAGUCUUCCAAGAUAAUGCUGUGGCUACAGACCAGGACACUGAGGAUGGACAGAAGAUAGGAGUCUUUACAGAUGAGGAAGUUCCACUUAAAGAAGACACUGCCAGCCAGCCAGCCAUGGAUCAAGGUAACCUGG
Molecule: long non-coding RNA, 308 nt
Organism: Coregonus clupeaformis (lake whitefish)
Lineage: Eukaryota; Metazoa; Chordata; Actinopteri; Salmoniformes; Salmonidae
Exons: 5
Source: RefSeq, a predicted model, not a curated record